RNAcentral lists this ribosomal RNA (494 nucleotides) under uncultured bacterium. RNAcentral's name for it is "partial 16S ribosomal RNA". It matches the Rfam family "Bacterial small subunit ribosomal RNA", at positions 28 to 507 of the family's 1533-position model. The record is from RNAcentral.
GACGAACGCUGGCGGCGUGCCUAAUACAUGCCAGUCGAGCGGACUUAAAAAGCUUGCUUUUUAAGUUAGCGGCGGACGGGUGAGUAACACGUGGGCAACCUGCCUGUAAGACUGGGAUAACUUCGGGAAACCGGAGCUAAUACCGGAUAAUCCUUUUCUACUCAUGUAGAAAAGCUGAAAGACGGUUUACGCUGUCACUUACAGAUGGGCCCGCGGCGCAUUAGCUAGUUGGUGAGGUAACGGCUCACCAAGGCGACGAUGCGUAGCCGACCUGAGAGGGUGAUCGGCCACACUGGGACUGAGAUACGGCCCAGACUCCUACGGGAGGCAGCAGUAGGGAAUCUUCCGCAAUGGACGAAAGUCUGACGGAGCAACGCCGCGUGAGUGAUGAAGGUUUUCGGAUCGUAAAACUCUGUUGUUAGGGAAGAACAAGUACGAGAGUAACUGCUCGUACCUUGACGGUACCUAACCAGAAAGCCACGGCUAACUACGUG